Molecule: small nuclear RNA, 104 nt
Organism: Nycticebus coucang (slow loris)
Lineage: Eukaryota; Metazoa; Chordata; Mammalia; Primates; Lorisidae
Source: RefSeq, a predicted model, not a curated record
GUGCUCUCCUUGGCACCAUAUAUACCAAAAGUGGAAUGGUACAGAGAUCAGCAUGGCCCCUGUACAAGGAUGACAUGCAAAUUCUUGGAGCAGUCUGUGUUUUU